RNAcentral lists this ribosomal RNA (57 nucleotides) under Geodermatophilus africanus. RNAcentral describes it as "23S rRNA. Bacterial LSU". Lineage: Bacteria; Bacillati; Actinomycetota; Actinomycetes; Geodermatophilales; Geodermatophilaceae. The record is from RNAcentral.
GUGGAAGCACCGCGAGGUGCGCAGCUGACCGGUACUAACCGGCCGAGGGCUUGACCA